RNAcentral lists this ribosomal RNA (111 nucleotides) under Bacteroidota bacterium. The record is from RNAcentral. RNAcentral also lists the same sequence under 1 other name. Lineage: Bacteria; Pseudomonadati; Bacteroidota.
UUUGGUGACUAUUGCGGUGGUGUUCACCUCUUCCCAUUCCGAACAGAGAAGUUAAGCCCACCAGCGCCGAUGAUACUGCAGUUAAUGUGGGAAAGUAGGUCGUUGCCAACU